AAGAGACUAGAAAGGUGUGGACUUUCUGCUGAGAGCUGAGGAGGACUGCAGAGGAUUUGUAAGAGUGUGUAAUCGCAUAUGCAAAUGAUAUGGUUGUGUCAGCUCCGUGGUGCCAGGCAUUGGCGGUGACUGAGUGGUUUGCAAGACAGAGUCUUACUCUCAAGUCCUCCUGGUCUGACACAGAAGCUGCAGCAAGGCAACCACAAGGAUCCUCAUCAGAGCAGCAGGACUUCUCUCUCCUCUUCAGUAUUCCAGACACAAUCCAGUG
Molecule: long non-coding RNA, 268 nt
Organism: Fukomys damarensis (Damara mole-rat)
Lineage: Eukaryota; Metazoa; Chordata; Mammalia; Rodentia; Bathyergidae
Exons: 3
Source: RefSeq, a predicted model, not a curated record